Molecule: ribosomal RNA, 823 nt
Filed under: Salmonella enterica
Lineage: Bacteria; Pseudomonadati; Pseudomonadota; Gammaproteobacteria; Enterobacterales; Enterobacteriaceae
Description: partial 23S ribosomal RNA
Rfam family: Bacterial large subunit ribosomal RNA
Source: RNAcentral
GUUCCGACCUGCACGAAUGGCGUAAUGAUGGCCAGGCUGUCUCCACCCGAGACUCAGUGAAAUUGAACUCGCUGUGAAGAUGCAGUGUACCCGCGGCAAGACGGAAAGACCCCGUGAACCUUUACUAUAGCUUGACACUGAACAUUGAGCCUUGAUGUGUAGGAUAGGUGGGAGGCUUUGAAGUGUGGACGCCAGUCUGCAUGGAGCCGACCUUGAAAUACCACCCUUUAAUGUUUGAUGUUCUAACGUGGAUCCGUAAUCCGGGUUGCGGACAGUGUCUGGUGGGUAGUUUGACUGGGGCGGUCUCCUCCUAAAGAGUAACGGAGGAGCACGAAGGUUGGCUAAUCCUGGUCGGACAUCAGGAGGUUAGUGCAAUGGCAUAAGCCAGCUUGACUGCGAGCGUGACGGCGCGAGCAGGUGCGAAAGCAGGUCAUAGUGAUCCGGUGGUUCUGAAUGGAAGGGCCAUCGCUCAACGGAUAAAAGGUACUCCGGGGAUAACAGGCUGAUACCGCCCAAGAGUUCAUAUCGACGGCGGUGUUUGGCACCUCGAUGUCGGCUCAUCACAUCCUGGGGCUGAAGUAGGUCCCAAGGGUAUGGCUGUUCGCCAUUUAAAGUGGUACGCGAGCUGGGUUUAGAACGUCGUGAGACAGUUCGGUCCCUAUCUGCCGUGGGCGCUGGAGAACUGAGGGGGGCUGCUCCUAGUACGAGAGGACCGGAGUGGACGCAUCACUGGUGUUCGGGUUGUCAUGCCAAUGGCACUGCCCGGUAGCUAAAUGCGGAAGAGAUAAGUGCUGAAAGCAUCUAAGCACGAAACUUGCCCCGA